Molecule: ribosomal RNA, 508 nt
Filed under: uncultured bacterium
Lineage: Bacteria
Description: partial 16S ribosomal RNA
Rfam family: Bacterial small subunit ribosomal RNA
Source: RNAcentral
GAUGAACGCUAGCUACAGGCUUAACACAUGCAAGUCGAGGGGAAACGACAUCGAAAGCUUGCUUUUGAUGGGCGUCGACCGGCGCACGGGUGAGUAACGCGUAUCCAACCUGCCCACCACUUGGGGAUAACCUUGCGAAAGUAAGACUAAUACCCAAUGAUAUCUCUAGAAGGCAUCAGAAAGAGAUUAAAGAUUUAUCGGUGACGGAUGGGGAUGCGUAUGAUUAGCUUGUUGGCGGGGGAACGGCCCAACAAGGCUACGAUCAGUAGGGGUUCUGAGAGGAAGGUCCCCCACAUUGGAACUGAGACAUGGUCCAAACUCCUACGGGAGGCAGCAGUGAGGAAUAUUGGUCAAUGGACGAGAGUCUGAACCAGCCAAGUAGCGUGCAGGAUGACGGCCCUAUGGGUUGUAAACUGCUUUUAUAAGGGAAUAAAGUGAGUCUCGUGAGACUUUUUGCAUGUACCUUAUGAAUAAGGACCGGCUAAUUCCGUGCCAGCCGCCGCGGUAA